AUCCAGCUGAUGAGUCCCAAAUAGGACGAAACUGGAU
Molecule: non-coding RNA, 37 nt
Organism: Schistosoma mattheei
Lineage: Eukaryota; Metazoa; Platyhelminthes; Trematoda; Strigeidida; Schistosomatidae
Source: Rfam